RNAcentral lists this ribosomal RNA (731 nucleotides) under uncultured Herbaspirillum sp. Its description in RNAcentral is "bacterial SSU rRNA". It matches the Rfam family "Bacterial small subunit ribosomal RNA", at positions 67 to 791 of the family's 1533-position model. Lineage: Bacteria; Pseudomonadati; Pseudomonadota; Betaproteobacteria; Burkholderiales; Oxalobacteraceae. The record is from RNAcentral.
CGGCAGCACGGGUGCUUGCACCUGGUGGCGAGUGGCGAACGGGUGAGUAAUAUAUCGGAACAUACCCUAGAGUGGGGGAUAACGUAGCGAGAGUUACGCUAAUACCGCAUACGAACUAAGGUUGAAAGUGGGGGAUCGCAAGACCUCAUGCUCAUGGAGUGGCCGAUAUCUGAUUAGCUAGUUGGUGAGGUAAAGGCUCACCAAGGCGACGAUCAGUAGCUGGUUUGAGAGAACGACCAGCCACACUGGAACUGAGACACGGUCCAGACUCCUACGGGAGGCAGCAGUGGGGAAUUUUGGACAAUGGGGGCAACCCUGAUCCAGCAAUGCCGCGUGAGUGAAGAAGGCCCUCGGGUUGUAAAGCUCUUUUGUCAGGGAAGAAACGGUCUACUCUAAUACAGUGGGCUAAUGACGGUACCUGAAGAAUAAGCACCGGCUAACUACGUGCCAGCAGCCGCGGUAAUACGUAGGGUGCAAGCGUUAAUCGGAAUUACUGGGCGUAAAGCGUGCGCAGGCGGUUUUAUAAGACAGAGGUGAAAUCCCCGGGCUCAACCUGGGAACUGCCUUUGUGACUGUAAGGCUAGAGUGUGUCAGAGGGGGGUAGAAUUCCACGUGUAGCAGUGAAAUGCGUAGAUAUGUGGAGGAAUACCGAUGGCGAAGGCAGCCCCCUGGGAUAACACUGACGCUCAUGCACGAAAGCGUGGGGAGCAAACAGGAUUAGAUACCCUGGU